Molecule: long non-coding RNA, 310 nt
Organism: Melitaea cinxia (Glanville fritillary)
Lineage: Eukaryota; Metazoa; Arthropoda; Insecta; Lepidoptera; Nymphalidae
Exons: 2
Source: RefSeq, a predicted model, not a curated record
GGCGACACUUUUUUGCUAUACUUUGUAUACCAAACUUGAAUUUUUAUAUAAAUUGGCAAAAUUGUACGUCAAAAUGAAAAAAUUUAAACGUCGGAAACGUCGUAAUUGUCAAAUUUUGACUCGAACAAUUAUUUCAUAACCGCCAUAUUAUAUUGCAACCACCGAGUAACCACGCUCGGAAUUUUGGAUUUUUAGUUUUUUCUGCAUAUAUAUUUUCUGAGCCCUAAUACUUUAUUGUGAGAAUAUUAUUCGUCGCUUCUAGGGAUUUACUAUGGAAAAUACAGUGAAACGUAAUGUGAGAUAUCAAAAA